Molecule: ribosomal RNA, 660 nt
Filed under: bacterium LB-97
Lineage: Bacteria
Description: bacterial SSU rRNA
Rfam family: Bacterial small subunit ribosomal RNA
Source: RNAcentral
AUACCCUGGUAGUCCACGCUGUAAACGAUGUCGACUUGGAGGUUGUUCCCUUGAGGAGUGGCUUCCGGAGCUAACGCGUUAAGUCGACCGCCUGGGGAGUACGGCCGCAAGGUUAAAACUCAAAUGAAUUGACGGGGGCCCGCACAAGCGGUGGAGCAUGUGGUUUAAUUCGAUGCAACGCGAAGAACCUUACCUACUCUUGACAUCCAGAGAACUUAGCAGAGAUGCUUUGGUGCCUUCGGGAACUCUGAGACAGGUGCUGCAUGGCUGUCGUCAGCUCGUGUUGUGAAAUGUUGGGUUAAGUCCCGCAACGAGCGCAACCCUUAUCCUUUGUUGCCAGCGGUUCGGCCGGGAACUCAAAGGAGACUGCCAGUGAUAAACUGGAGGAAGGUGGGGAUGACGUCAAGUCAUCAUGGCCCUUACGAGUAGGGCUACACACGUGCUACAAUGGCAUAUACAAAGAGAAGCGACCUCGCGAGAGCAAGCGGACCUCAUAAAGUAUGUCGUAGUCCGGAUUGGAGUCUGCAACUCGACUCCAUGAAGUCGGAAUCGCUAGUAAUCGUGGAUCAGAAUGCCACGGUGAAUACGUUCCCGGGCCUUGUACACACCGCCCGUCACACCAUGGGAGUGGGUUGCAAAAGAAGUAGGUAGCUUAACCUU